RNAcentral lists this ribosomal RNA (103 nucleotides) under Sphingobacterium corticibacterium. Lineage: Bacteria; Pseudomonadati; Bacteroidota; Sphingobacteriia; Sphingobacteriales; Sphingobacteriaceae. The record is from RNAcentral.
UAUAUCGGCGGUGUCUACCUCUUCCCAUUCCGAACAGAGCAGUCAAGCCCGCCAGAGCCGAUGGUACUGCCGUAAAAGGUGGGAGAGUAGGUCGGUGCCGAAC